This 459-nucleotide ribosomal RNA is filed under the name uncultured Rhodocyclaceae bacterium. Its description in RNAcentral is "bacterial SSU rRNA". It matches the Rfam family "Bacterial small subunit ribosomal RNA", at positions 923 to 1382 of the family's 1533-position model. Lineage: Bacteria; Pseudomonadati; Pseudomonadota; Betaproteobacteria; Rhodocyclales; Rhodocyclaceae. The record is from RNAcentral.
GCACAAGCGGUGGAUGAUGUGGAUUAAUUCGAUGCAACGCGAAAACCUUACCUACCCUUGACAUGUCCGGAAUCCCGAAGAGAUUUGGGAGUGCUCGCAAGAGAGCCGGAACACAGGUGCUGCAUGGCUGUCGUCAGCUCGUGUCGUGAGAUGUUGGGUUAAGUCCCGCAACGAGCGCAACCCUUGUCAUUAGUUGCCAUCAUUUGGUUGGGCACUCUAAUGAGACUGCCGGUGACAAACCGGAGGAAGGUGGGGAUGACGUCAAGUCCUCAUGGCCCUUAUGGGUAGGGCUUCACACGUCAUACAAUGGUCGGUACAGAGGGUUGCCAACCCGCGAGGGGGAGCUAAUCCCACAAAGCCGAUCGUAGUCCGGAUCGCAGUCUGCAACUCGACUGCGUGAAGUCGGAAUCGCUAGUAAUCGUGGAUCAGCAUGUCACGGUGAAUACGUUCCCGGGUCUU